Molecule: ribosomal RNA, 468 nt
Filed under: uncultured bacterium
Lineage: Bacteria
Description: partial 16S ribosomal RNA
Rfam family: Bacterial small subunit ribosomal RNA
Source: RNAcentral
GAUGAACGCUGGCGGCGUGCUUAAUACAUGCAAGUCGAACGGGAAGGCUCUGUAUUUGUGCGGGACUCGAGUGGUGAACAGGGGAGUAAUAAGUGAUUAAUCUCCCCCUGCCUAGUGUAUAACAUCAGGAAACUGGGGCUAAUACCGCCUAGGAGCGUCAUCGGCAUGGGGGGGUGUGAAAAGUUUCGGCGGUUGGGGAUGGAAUGGCGGCGUUUCAGCUCGGUGGUGGGGUAGUGGCUUACCAAGGCUUGGACGGGUAGGCGGCCGGAGAGGGUGACCGGCCACAUUGGAACUGAGAUACGGCCCAGACUCCUACCGGAGGGAGCAGUGAGGAAUAUUGAAUGAUCGACGGGAGCCUGACGGAUGCACGCCGCGUGCGGGAAGACGGCAGUCGGGUUGUAAACCGCUUUCGCCUGUGACGGAGCGUGAGUGACGGUAAUGGAUGAAUAAGCCCCGGCUAACUACGUG